Molecule: ribosomal RNA, 569 nt
Filed under: uncultured archaeon
Lineage: Archaea
Description: bacterial SSU rRNA
Rfam family: Archaeal small subunit ribosomal RNA
Source: RNAcentral
GGCAUGUUAGUUUGCGUCUUCAAGCCACGGAGAAGACGCGGCGGACGGCUCAGUAACACGUAGCCAACCUGCCCUUGGGACGGAAAUAACCCCGGGAAACUGGGGACAACAACCGAUAGGUGAGAAGGCCUGGAAUGGUUUCCCGCCUAAAAGACCAGGAACCACGCUUCCAAAGUCGCCCAAGGAUGAGGCUGCGGCCGAUCAGGCAGUUGGUGAGGUAACGGCUCACCAAACCUAUAACCGGUACGGGCCGUGAGAGCGGGAGCCCGGAGAUGGGCACUGAGACAAGGGCCCAGGCCCUACGGGGCGCAGCAGCUACUAAACCUCUGAAAUGCGCGAAAGCGCGACAGGGCUACCCCGAGUGCCGUCCGCUGAGGAUGGCUUUUCUCCGGUGUAAUGAGCCGGAGGAAUAAGGGGAGGGCAAGCCUGGUGUCAGCCGCCGCGGUAAUACCAGCUCCCCGAGUGGUGGGGGCUUUUAUUUGGCCUAAAGCGUUCGUAGCCGGUUUGACAAGUCUCCUGUGUAAUCCAGCGAUCUAAUCGUUGGACUGCGGGUGAUACUGUUGGACUAG